CAUCGAUCUCUCUGUUCUCUCUCACUCUCUCUCUCUCUCUUUCUCCCUUUGCCUCUGGAAUAUUCCUCCAGUACCAAUCCAGAUCAUUUUUGCCAAAUGUCGAAGGCAGGAGCAUUCGAUCUCGUGUCAGGUGUGGGCGGGAAUAUCGAGAAGCGCGAUGCAUGUCCUCUCCGCCGUCGAUAAGUACGAGAAGUAUCAUGGCUACCAUGGUGGUGACGAGGAAGAGAGGAAAGCAAACUACACUGACAUGGUGAUGAGUGCUGCUCUGUCUUUACCAAUCUUUUUAUUCCAUGCAAUGGCAGAGUG
Alnus glutinosa is the source of this 306-nucleotide long non-coding RNA. RefSeq lists it as uncharacterized. Lineage: Eukaryota; Viridiplantae; Streptophyta; Magnoliopsida; Fagales; Betulaceae. The transcript is spliced from 3 exons. The record is from RefSeq and is a predicted model, not a curated record.